RNAcentral lists this ribosomal RNA (497 nucleotides) under uncultured bacterium. Its description in RNAcentral is "partial 16S ribosomal RNA". It matches the Rfam family "Bacterial small subunit ribosomal RNA", at positions 28 to 507 of the family's 1533-position model. The record is from RNAcentral.
GAUGAACGCUGGCGGCGUGCCUAAUACAUGCAAGUCGAGCGAACAGACGAGGAGCUUGCUCCUCUGACGUUAGCGGCGGACGGGUGAGUAACACGUGGAUAACCUACCUAUAAGACUGGGAUAAAUUCGGGAAACCGGAGCUAAUACCGGAUAAUAUAUUGAACCGCAUGGUUAAAUAGUGAAAGACGGUUUUGCUGUCACUUAUAGAUGGAUCCGGGCCGCAUUAGCUAGUUGGUAAGGUAACGGCUUACCAAGGCAACUAUGCGUAGCCGACCUGAAAGGGUCAUUGGCUACCCUGUAUCUGAGACACGGCCGCCACUCUUGAGCUAGGCAGCAGUCCGGACUCCUCCGCAAUGGACGAAUGCCUGACGUUGCACCGCCGCGUGAACCCUGAUGCUCUUCCGCUCGUAAAACUCUGUUAUUUUGGAAGAACUAAUGUGCUAUUAACUGUGCACGUCUUGACGGUACCUUAUCAGAAAGCCCCGGCUAACUACGUG